Molecule: long non-coding RNA, 3189 nt
Organism: Gallus gallus (chicken)
Lineage: Eukaryota; Metazoa; Chordata; Aves; Galliformes; Phasianidae
Source: Ensembl
GUCAAAAUUUGAUAUAUUCUAUUAUUCUCUGAAAAAUUGAAUCCUGGUAUGAAAACAAAUUACAAUACCUGCUAGAUUACUUCUUUUUCCUUAGUUAUGCAGCAGCUGGAUGCUGGAAAAACAUUAACUCUCUGAACUCUGGAAAUAAUGGCAAUACCUCAGUUGUUCAAUAUGACUACUGCCAAGUGGCAAUCCACAUUCAUUCAGCAGACUCAGAAUUCACUCCUCUUGGGAGGCCCUUCUAGUACAUCCCUUACUCACUCUGCAUAUAGAGUACAGCAAGGUGGACCAAGAGCUUUGGAAGUGUGAUCAUGCCAGCAGCAGCCAGAGAGGGAGGGAAUGUACAGAAAAUGUAGAUGCUGUCUUUCAACUUUUCUCUCAAUAUCUGUCUGAGCUUAUAUAUGGCAUCCUGUGCAGGACAAGGAAAAAAACAAGUACUCUCACUGUGUUCAUUACCUGACAGCCUCUGAGAAACAUAGGAAGUUAAUCUUGUCUCAUUUCCAAAGCAUAACAAAAGUGUGAGGACCCAAUACCUCACUUCAUUUAUCCUGGUUUACAUGGCAUUGGACUGAACAUGGGCAGUUGCUACCCAGGCCCUGCGGUGAAGGUUCUGUAAAAGGCUGCCAGAGGCAAAAAGACUGUCAGCAGCUGUAGUCCUUCACUGCAGCCUUCCACAGUACUGCUGAAGCAACAAAUUUUGCAGCUACACAAGCUGAGACUUACCAGAGGAUGCUAUGCAAGGCUCCAUCUUUACAGACUGUCUCCACACCAAGACGAGGGAUGUGCAGACAUCUAAUCCCAACAAAGAAACAAACAAAAAGAUAACCAAGUAAAUAAUCUUUGUAAGAGAAAAGUGUAAGUAAAAUAAUCACCUAAUCAUGCUUCAAACUUCCCUAGGAACAGUAAACCUCUGCUUGGCUUUCAUCUUUUCCUGUCAGGUACUUAUACAGAAGACAAGCUUCUGAGACACCAUUUCAGUGGAUCUAUGCUUGAGCUGGCUUUGGAGAUGAUCCAAGGCGGGUCUAGAGAUACUCAUUUACAGAGAAAGGCUGGGGCUGCCUAUUUUACUCAGUCAACUCAGUUAAACAAUGAUCUGAAUGUGUCUGAUUUUUGGCAAAGAUAGCCUAGCCUCCCACUACUCCAGAAGGAAUCUUGCACUCUAUUCUCUCAGUUCAAGGGAAAGUUCCAGCAGGGAGAUGUUCUGGUCUGAGGACAAAGCUGUUGCCGGAAAUCACAGAACUUGAUGUUGAAACAGCAAAGACUGUUGUCACAGCUAGCAGUAAAAUCCACCCCUGUACUCAAGUUUCUUACAAAAGUACAUUUAAGUAUUCAUACUUUUCAGUGGGGAAAAAUCCCAAGCCCAAACUAAGAAACAAAACAGCACAAAUCUGCUUCUUGAUAGUAAGCGCAGAAGGAGAACAUUACGUUGGGCAAAGCGUUACUGUGCUGUGGUUUGUGCAAGCAUGCAUGGAGGAGGGAGGUUUCAGAUUAGUUUGAAGAGCAGCUUCUGGAAACUACUGGGCUCGGCAUUACUGAUUUAAUCCCUUGGAACCUUUUCCUUAUCUGCAAUGAAAGAUACACAUUUUAGCAGUAAUUCUAAACCUAACGUUCAAUGUCAGCUAUAACAACAGGCAAAACUAAACUCCUUCAAAACAUUCAACCACAGAUAAACUUUCAAAGAGUUAUGCAUGACUGCCAAGAAGUUAGCUACUGAUAUCUCUGAGCGUUCAUGGGAUAAAUUUGGCUCACUCGAAGUACUGCCCAAACAGAUGGGCCAGUUGUCAAAGCUAAAAAUGAGCUUCCAAAGUGCGCAAGAAGGCGCAAUGACACUGCCACAGUUCCUGAUGUCACGACCACAAGGAAGAAAACUUAAUGCAUAUUCAGCAUAUUCUGAGAGCGCUGAUACAAUAAAGUCACAAAAAUUACAGAUGGAGCUUGUAGAGGAAACACUACACUGGGAGAUAAGACUUGACCAUGGUUAUAGCCUUGCACUGGAAAAACAACCUACUUACGUUGGAUCAACCGAGUAGGUUCAGUAGAAACAAUUCUUUGCUAUUGCUACUGUGACAGAAGAUGGUGUAAAGGUGUAGUACUGUUUUUCUAUGUGUAACCAUCUUUAAGAAAUUAAAGUCACAUUUUUUAGACAAGUUUUUUUUUUUAAAAGAGACAAACUACUUUGAUUAAAACAAGGGGUAACGUGUGGAAGGGGGAAAUGAAAAAAUCCAGUGAAAAUCCUUCACAAUUUUUAGAGAUAAUCACAGAUAGUUUGGAUUUUUUAAACUUUGUCAGUAAUAACUGUGAAAGUUUACUCUAAUUAAAGGUGUAAUUUUAUCACAUUAAUCAAGUGCCGUGGUUCUAAAUAGCAUAUGGGCUUUUGAGAACUGAAGAGCUUGAUUUUCUGAAAGUGGGGUGCAUACUGAAUAGCUUGAAUCUGUUUUUCAGGAUGUAUUUUUAAUUUUACUUGAGAAACACCUGGAUCUCACUAGGACUAAUAAAAAACUGACAUUUUUAGAGAGAAAACAAACCCACUGAGUUGAAGAUUGAAGAAUGCCCAUAAAUUAGGCUUUGGGGAAAUAUAAGACUUAGCUUCUGCAGUAGAAUAGCCCUCACUCUAAGUAUGAAAAAGUAGAUUAGGCAGCUUAGGUAUGUUCAUGACAAAAAUGAAGUCAAUUCACACAGAUCAAGAAGUGUGUUGGUGCUAGGACUUAGCAGAAAUCUGCUAGCCUUUUAUUACCAACAUUAUUAAUUGUUCAGCAAUCACUGGGUUUGUACUUGUUUGAAGAGAGAAUUAAAAUGUUACCCUCAAACAGAGUCUAGGUCAAAUGCUCUCAGAUUUCUUCAGUCAAACUCUGGCAGUAUCUCUUAAGGGGAUUCGAAAGGAGAAAGUAAGUCAGAAGAAACUAGUUCCACAUUCUCAUCUACACAAUGCUUCCUAUGCUACACUGAAGCAAUCCCUUCGGUCUUCCUGUGCCUCAGAGUUGUGAUGACUGCAUUUUCUCGUUUGUGCACAGAAAGCAGAAGGCACAAGGACGGUCUACAAGAAGAUUGUUUCUUAAAUUACUACAUUCAAGUGAAAUUAUAACAGUGUUUCAUUUUAUUUUUUUUAUCUUUUUAUACAAGGGGCUCUUUUGCUGCGGUGACUCAUUAGAAACCUAGCAAAGUUAUUUUGAAGCAAAUCAGUACUUAUUU